Molecule: ribosomal RNA, 508 nt
Filed under: uncultured Terrimonas sp.
Lineage: Bacteria; Pseudomonadati; Bacteroidota; Chitinophagia; Chitinophagales; Chitinophagaceae
Description: bacterial SSU rRNA
Rfam family: Bacterial small subunit ribosomal RNA
Source: RNAcentral
CGCUACGGAGGCUUAUACAUGCAAGUCGAGGGGCAGCACAGGUAGCAAUACUGGGUGGCGACCGGCAAACGGGUGCGGAACACGUACAGAACCUUCCUUCGAGCGGGGCAUAGCCCAGAGAAAUUUGGAUUAAUACCCCAUAGUAAGUUGAAGAGGCAUCUCUUUGAUUUUAAAGAUUUAUCACUUGAAGAUGGCUGUGCGGCUGAUUAGGUAGUUGGCGGGGUAACGGCCCACCAAGCCUGCGAUCAGUAACUGGUGUGAGAGCACGACCAGUCACACGGGCACUGAGACACGGGCCCGACUCCUACGGGAGGCAGCAGUAAGGAAUAUUGGUCAAUGGACGCAAGUCUGAACCAGCCAUGCCGCGUGGAGGAUGAAGGCCCUCUGGGUUGUAAACUUCUUUUAUCUGGGACGAAAGAGGGACUUUCUAGUUCAACUGACGGUACCAGAGGAAUAAGCACCGGCUAACUCCGUGCCAGCAGCCGCGGUAAUACGGAGGGUGCAAGCG